RNAcentral lists this ribosomal RNA (492 nucleotides) under uncultured bacterium. Its description in RNAcentral is "partial 16S ribosomal RNA". It matches the Rfam family "Bacterial small subunit ribosomal RNA", at positions 29 to 507 of the family's 1533-position model. The record is from RNAcentral.
AGUGAACGCUGGCGGUAGGCCUAACACAUGCAAGUCGAACGGCAGCACAGUAAGAGCUUGCUCUUACGGGUGGCGAGUGGCGGACGGGUGAGGAAUACAUCGGAAUCUACUUUUUCGUGGGGGAUAACGUAGGGAAACUUACGCUAAUACCGCAUACGACCUACGGGUGAAAGCAGGGGAUCUUCGGACCUUGCGCGGAUGAAUGAGCCGAUGUCGGAUUAGCUAGUUGGCGGGGUAAAGGCCCACCAAGGCGACGAUCCGUAGCUGGUCUGAGUGGAUGAUCAGCCACACUGGAACUGAGACACGGUCCAGACUCCUACGGGAGGCAGCAGUGGGGAAUAUUGGACAAUGGGCGCAAGCCUGAUCCAGCCAUACCGCGUGGGUGAAGAAGGUCUUCGGGUUGUAAAGCCCUUUUGUUGGGAAAGAAAAGCAGCAGGUUAAUACCCCGCUGUUCUGACGGUACCCAAAGAAUAAGCACCGGCUAACUUCGUG